RNAcentral lists this ribosomal RNA (464 nucleotides) under uncultured bacterium. RNAcentral's name for it is "partial 16S ribosomal RNA". It matches the Rfam family "Bacterial small subunit ribosomal RNA", at positions 28 to 506 of the family's 1533-position model. The record is from RNAcentral.
GACGAACGCUGGCGGCGUGCUUAACACAUGCAAGUCGAACGGAAAGGCCCCUUUGGGGGUACUCGAGUGGCGAACGGGUGAGUAACACGUGAGUAACCUGCCCUUGACUUCGGGAUAACUUCAGGAAACUGGGGCUAAUACCGGAUAGGAAUCCUUGCUGCAUGGUGGGGGUUGGAAAGCUUCGGCGGUUUUGGAUGGACUCGCGGCUUAUCAGCAUGUUGGUGGGGUAGUGGCUUACCAAGGCUUUGACGGGUAGCCGGCCUGAGAGGGCGACCGGCCACAUUGGGACUGAGAUACGGCCCAGACUCCUACGGGAGGCAGCAGUGGGGAAUAUUGCACAAUGGGCGGAAGCCUGAUGCAGCAACGCCGCGUGCGGGAUGACGGCCUUCGGGUUGUAAACCGCUUUCAGCAGGGGCGAAGCUUGUGGUGACGGUACCUGCAGAAGAAGCACCGGCUAACUACGU